GAUCCUGGCUCAGGACGAACGCUGGCGGCGUGCCUAACACAUGCAAGUCGAACGGGGAGUUAGCAAUAACUUCUAGUGGCGAACGGGUGAGUAACGCGUAGACAACCUACCUUCUAGAUGGGGACAACACCGCGAAAGUGGUGCUAAUACCGAAUGUUAUAUCCGGGUUGCAUAAUUUGGAUACUAAAGGUGGCCUCUGAAUAUGCUACCGCUAGAAGAUGGGUCUGCGUCUGAUUAGCUAGUUGGUGGGGUAACGGCCCACCAAGGAGACGAUCAGUAGCCGGUCUGAGAGGAUGAACGGCCACACUGGGACUGAGACACGGCCCAGACUCCUACGGGAGGCAGCAGUGGGGAAUCUUCCGCAAUGGACGAAAGUCUGACGGAGAACCGCCGCGUGAGUGAUGAAGGCCUUCGGGUCGUAAAGCUCUGUUAUUAGGGACGAACGUCUUCUAUGUGAAUAAUUGUGGGAGAGUGACGGUACCUAAGGAGGAAGCCACGGCUAACUACGUGCCAGCAGCCGCGGUAAUACGUAGGUGGCAAGCGUUGUCCGGAAUUAUUGGGCGUAAAGCGCGCGUAGGUGGGAUCAUAAGUNUUAUGUAAAAGUGCGGGGCUCAACCCCGUAAAGCGUGAGAAACUGUGAUUCUUGAGUGCAGGAGAGGAAAGCGGAAUUCCCAGUGUAGCGGUGAAAUGCGUAGAUAUUGGGAGGAACACCAGUGGCGAAGGCGGCUUUCUGGACUGUGUCUGACACUGAGGCGCGAAAGCUAGGGGAGCGAACGGGAUUAGAUACCCCGGUAGUCCUAGCCGUAAACGAUGGGUACUAGGUGUAGGGGGUAUCGACCCCUCCUGUGCCGGAGUUAACGCAAUAAGUACCCCGCCUGGGGAGUACGGCCGCAAGGUUGAAACUCAAAGGAAUUGACGGGGCCCGCACAAGCGGUGGAGUAUGUGGUUUAAUUCGACGCAACGCGAAGAACCUUACCAGGACUUGACAUCGAAAGAAAGUUUUAGAGAUAAGACUGUGCCCUUUUAGGGAACUUGAAGACAGGUGGUGCAU
Molecule: ribosomal RNA, 1051 nt
Filed under: uncultured bacterium
Lineage: Bacteria
Description: bacterial SSU rRNA
Rfam family: Bacterial small subunit ribosomal RNA
Source: RNAcentral